Populus nigra (black poplar) is the source of this 2092-nucleotide long non-coding RNA. RefSeq lists it as uncharacterized. The transcript is spliced from 2 exons. The record is from RefSeq and is a predicted model, not a curated record. NCBI's taxonomy places the organism in Eukaryota, Viridiplantae, Streptophyta, Magnoliopsida, Malpighiales, Salicaceae.
UGUGUUGCACUAUUGUGCACGUCUGGAAGCAUAUUAUUGGGUUGGUUAAGGGGUUUGGUUUGUUUGAUCUACCUUUUUAGUCUUUUGCAUGUUAGGUGCUUGGCGAAGAUUUGGAGAGAAGUUUCUUCUUUUUUAAAAAAAGAUGUUUGCUCAAUUCUAAGCUUGUUGCAUGCUCAGACUUCAGUUUCUUUUUUUCGGGUUUUGAGAGCUGGGGUCUGGUUAGGGGUUUUGAUUGGUUUAGACUGUCUUUUUCUCUUCAAGUAAGGCGUGUUUUACGAAGGUUUUGAGAGACGUUUUUUCUUUUUUGAAGAUAUUUGUUGGGAUUCAUGCUUGGUGUGUGCGGAGACUUUGAUUCCUUCUUAGGUUUCAAGUUGUUCAUACAAAAGGACAUGUUCAUCGCAUGUUGUUUGCGGGAGUGAUUGAUGGAAGGAACUCUGGUGGGCAAUGUCUUUGUGUUUGUGCUUCCUGUUGAGAUGUUGCUUUGGUGCCUUUGGCUUGAUUGCUUUGUUGGAGCAUAUUGAUUUGUUUUUUCUUCCUUUCUUUCUUGCUUUGUUGGAGCAUAUGAAAUUUAAUUUGUUCUUAACUGUGUUUCUGCUGUUCUAUCUACAGGGUUUUGACACACAAAUCGAAGCCUUCUUUGGUUCAAACCAAGUUACAUGAUCUGUUUCAUUGGUGACACAACGUGUGUUUAAUAUUUCCUCUCAUUGCAAGGAGGAUUUCUUGGAGUUACACAGCCAAGCAGGUCUGCUCUCUAUUCUCCUUGACUUUUAAAAAAAAUAAAUCAUGAUAUUGUCUUUUUUUUUUGGUCUCUUGUAUGUUCUUCAGUAAGGUAUGUUUCUCUACAUUAUCUUUGUUUAUAGUUAGUCUUGGCAAUUUAUUUCAAAUUUUGUAAGUCACAUUGCUUUAUUCCAUCAACAUCCACCCAUAAACAUUUUCAAGUAUAUUGACAUCUAGACAAUAAUUGUUGGUUGUUCUUGAGGAAUUGUCAACUUCAUCUCUUUAUUUUAGUAGUGCAAUAUUAUGGAACCACUGAGUCUCAAUAAUAUCCAAAUUUAAAUAGGUGAUUGCCUCCCAACAAAAUAAGGUAUGCUCAACAUUGGAAGGAGCUGCAAAAUAAAAAACAUUGUCCAAGCAUGUACUUAGUUUUUUUUUUUCUUCUUCUUUUACUAUCCCAUGUUGCCAAUUGUAUGUUUAGUUAUGUAACCACGUGAUCACAGGGUCUACUUUAGCUUGACUUUAUUUAUCAUGUUAUAUUCUUCUGUAUUUUUUGUUUUUCUUAUUUCGCGUGUUGAAACUUAAUAUUUCCAAUCUUCAUCAAUCGCUAUGGAAUUGCGGCAACAACUACUCUUACCAAAAAAAAAGUUAUUUUGUUUCAUUAUUGUCAUUGCAUAUAUUAGUAAUAUAAAAUGUUGAAAAAAAAAGUCAUUCAAACAAAGAUGUUAUAAAUUCUACUGAAAAAAAUAAAACAAGAUGAAAUUGAACCACAAUGGAAUUACUUGACAAUUGAUAUUUUAGUUAUUUGAACUCUAAUCAUACUAUAUAUCAAAUUUGAGGUCAUUUGAACACCGUCUAGUUUGCGUCAAGUAUUGAAACUUACUUUACUACUAUUGUAAUCGAUUUGGAUAGUAUACUAAAGUGUUAUUCGAGAUACUUGGGUAUCAAUCAAGUCAUUUUCAUAAUAUUUUCUUUUGAAUUUUUUUUCAUGUCCUAAAAAACAUCCAUAUCUCGUACGAAUUCAAUCGCUACUUCUGAAAUUGUAAUUGUAGUUUUGUAUUUACUUAUUUUCAUAUAUUUCUUACUUCCUAAGUCAUUACACAUAUUUGGAUUGCACUACUAUGUUAUUCUAUUUGGUUGUCUUGAAUUUUAAAGUGAAAAACUCAAUUGAGUGAAACACAAGAUAAGUGUAUGCACAUGAGGGAGUGAGUGAGGAAAUAAUUCUUUCUUUAUCACUAAAGUAUCUUGUAGAUUUGAAGAUAUAGGAUAACACCAACAAAAAAUGAAAAGGUUGAACAUUGUAAUAUGGAAUUUUGAGUAUAAGAUUGAGAGAAGGAAGAGAUAUGAUGCUAAAAUUGAUGGUUUGAGAAACAAGGCU